RNAcentral lists this ribosomal RNA (580 nucleotides) under Clostridioides difficile. RNAcentral's name for it is "bacterial SSU rRNA". It matches the Rfam family "Bacterial small subunit ribosomal RNA", at positions 1 to 606 of the family's 1533-position model. The record is from RNAcentral. Lineage: Bacteria; Bacillati; Bacillota; Clostridia; Peptostreptococcales; Peptostreptococcaceae.
UUUUAUUUGAGAGUUUGAUCCUGGCUCAGGAUGAACGCUGGCGGCGUGCCUAACACAUGCAAGUUGAGCGAUUUACUUCGGUAAAGAGCGGCGGACGGGUGAGUAACGCGUGGGUAACCUACCCUGUACACACGGAUAACAUACCGAAAGGUAUGCUAAUACGGGAUAAUAUAUUUGAGAGGCAUCUCUUGAAUAUCAAAGGUGAGCCAGUACAGGAUGGACCCGCGUCUGAUUAGCUAGUUGGUAAGGUAACGGCUUACCAAGGCGACGAUCAGUAGCCGACCUGAGCGGGUGAUCGGCCACAUUGGAACUGAGACACGGUCCAAACUCCUACGGGAGGCAGCAGUGGGGAAUAUUGCACAAUGGGCGAAAGCCUGAUGCAGCCACGCCGCGUGAGUGAUGCAGGCCUUCGGGUCGUAAAACUCUAUCCUCAAGGAAGAUAAUGACGGUACUUGAGGAGGAAGCCCCGGCUAACUACGUGCCAGCAGCCGCGGUAAUACGUAGGGGGCUAGCGUUAUCCGGAUUUACUGGGCGUAAAGGGUGCGUAGGCGGUCUUUCAAGUCAGGAGUGAAAGGCUACG